UACGGAGGGUGCGAGCGUUGUCCGGAAUCACUGGGCGUAAAGGGCGCGUAGGUGGUCUGCUAAGCGUGCGGUGAAAGCCUGGGGCUCAACCCCAGGUCUGCCGUGCGAACUGGUGGACUGGAGCACUGUAGAGGCAGGUGGAAUUCCGGGUGUAGCGGUGGAAUGCGUAGAGAUCCGGAAGAACACCGGUGGCGAAGGCGGCCUGCUGGGCAGUUGCUGACACUGAGGCGCGACAGCGUGGGGAGCAAACAGG
This 253-nucleotide ribosomal RNA is filed under the name bacterium. Its description in RNAcentral is "partial 16S ribosomal RNA". It matches the Rfam family "Bacterial small subunit ribosomal RNA", at positions 524 to 776 of the family's 1533-position model. RNAcentral also lists the same sequence under 1 other name. The record is from RNAcentral.